This 498-nucleotide ribosomal RNA is filed under the name uncultured bacterium. RNAcentral describes it as "partial 16S ribosomal RNA". It matches the Rfam family "Bacterial small subunit ribosomal RNA", at positions 28 to 507 of the family's 1533-position model. The record is from RNAcentral.
GAUGAACGCUGGCGGCGUGCCUAAUACAUGCAAGUCGAGCGAACUUUUGGGAGCUUGCUCCCAAAAGUUAGCGGCGGACGGGUGAGUAACACGUGGGUAACCUGCCUGUAAGACUGGGAUAACUUCGGGAAACCGGGGCUGAUACCGGAUAACAUUGAAGUCCACAUGGCCUUCAAUUAAAAGUUGGCGUUUGGCUACCACUUACAGAUGGACCCGCGGCUCAUUAGCUAGUUGGUGAGGUCACGGCUCACCAAGGCGACGAUGCGUAGCCGACCUGAGAGGGGGAUCGGCGACACUGGGACUGAGACACGGCACAGACCCCUACGGGAGGCAGCAGUAGGGAAUCUUCCGCAAUGGACGAAAGUCUGACGGAGCAACGCCGCGUGAGCGAAGAAGGCCGUCGGGUCGGAAAGCUCUGUUGUUAGGGAAGAACAAGUAUCGUUCGAAUAGGGCGGUACCUUGACGGUACCUAACCAGAAAGCCACGGCUAACUACGUG